GAGGACGCUCUCCGAGAAGACACAGUUCCGAAAAACCGGCUUCCACAGUGAACGAUGAGGAGAUCCGCGGAGCCCAUCUCUUCUUCUUCUCUCGUGCCUCCUUCCGUCCGCCCUCGCAGGUGCCCCCAGGUCCUCUUUUCUCUCUCUCUAUCGCCCUUCCUUCUCUUCGUUCCAUGAGAACCCUUAUUUAGCCUCUCUUCUAUCCUUAACAAGGACUCUUUAUGGAGUUCCCUGGUGACAGGGUGCACGAUUGCAGGUCGCGUCGCGUCCCCAAUUUGUUUCAUACGUUUUCCUUAUUAAUUGCUUUCCGUCAAUUCUUGAUGAGAUCGAGACCCAAGCUGCAUAUAUUGAUGCAUAACAUUAAAUUACUGAAAAAGACAGACCCUUGUCCAUAAACUUGCUGUUGUUUUGCUAAAUCCACAAUUCCUCAUACACCUAUUCUUGUUAAGGGCUAUAUUCUGCUGUCAUUGCAUGCUUUUCUAUGUUCUUUUACAUUAUCCACCUGCAGUAGCCAAAAUCUCUCUCUCUCUCUUCUUUUUCCCUGGGCCUUUCAACAUAGAUUCGAGCAACUCAGAUCUUCAUUGGCCCUGUCUACAACAUAUCAAUUUCAAUAUCCCUGUCCCUAACUCUAUUCUUCCUAAUUUCACCGCAUGAUCCAACUUUCAAUGUUUUUCCUUGGAUCCUUUUAGUUUCUUAACAUUCAAAUUAUUCAAUAUUACAUGAUUUAUUGUUGCUGUAUAAUUUUUCAUUAAGUCACCUAGGAAUGUGCCCAUUUUGUUUCAAACCUGAAGCACCUCUUUGCUUCAUCUGUCCAGGUCUAUUCUUAGAUAUGUCUUUAUCUAUGAGUUAAUACUCCAUUCUUUAUUUUGCAUAUCCAAACAGCAUUUUCUAUGAAAUCAUUCUUCUAUAUGUAAAUUGUUGGUGAUGAACAAACUUACGUAUGUUAUACCUGUCAACUUCCACCAACCCAUACCCAUAAAACAUGUACAGCUUUCAAGAGCUUAUAUCAUAAAGGCAAAAUCAGUACUGUAGCCAUGCUAAUGCUUCUUUUAAGAUUGCUUAGGAUAUUAGUACUUACUUAGUCAGAUUACUAUGCUAGUUAAUAUUGCUAAAGAAAGGAUGGAAAGAUGAAGCGAAUUGUAGAGAGGUAACCUUUUUAUGGAAGAAUUUGGAUAGAAAACUUAAUCAAGAGGGCGAUGAUGCGAAUUCUAGAGAGGUAACCUUUUUAUGGAAGAAUUUGGAUAGAAAAUUUAAUCAAGAGGGUGCCUAUCACAACCCGAGCCCAUCACUUGGGUCAGCCACAUGAUACGUCCGCAUGCUUAGAGUGGUGCCCUGAAGAUCAUGCAAGGUCUGCAAGAUGAACAAAAUUCCAAAAUAGCAGAAAUUUAAAUCAAAUCUGUAAUAGUUAUAAUAAUCCAACUAAAUAAAUCCACCAUUAUCAAAUAGUCAAACUUGUUUAACUACAAGGUUUCAAUUGUUAAUCUGGUAUCGGAAAUAUCAGAAAUAAACUAACGACUCCGUCACUCGACCUCCAUGCCCAACCUAUCCAAGACUAAGCAUGUUGUGGCUCUGACAAAAAUGCUACAAAGAGGCAUGAACUUCACAACCCAGCAAGAAUCUCCGCACAAUCCACACCAAUAUGAAUAAUGUAAAUUAAUGAUAAAUAUUAACAAAUAAAUAGUAUCAGAGUGAAAACAAAAAUCAUAAUAUCUCAUACCAAAUAUCCAGUAUAGGCCAAACAAAACGACAUAAAUUUACACCAUCUAUUAUCAAAUAUCUAUCUUAUUUAAAAGAGAUAUAAUACAAAUAUCAUCAAGUAAAAUAUUUUAUUCAGCAAUAGUUUCAUGUGUAUUAUCAUCCAUCUUUCAUUAUCACAGCUCCAAAUUUGGUGAUAAUUAACUUCUAAUUAUGAACAUUCACCGAAUUAUGACCAGUAAAAUAUAAUUUUUACGCGUAAGCCUGUAGCGGCUACCCAUGCAUAAGCCCGUGGAGGCACCCCACGCAUAAGCUCAUUGAGGUUUUCCAUAUAUAAGCUCGUGGAGACUAUCCACGCAUAAGCUCGUAGAGGCUAUUCUGUACAUAAGCCCAUGGAGGCUAUCCCAUGCGUAAGCUUAUGGAGACUAUCCAAAUAUCUUUUUCUCAUCCAUCUGAUUAAUCAUUUUUUAUUCUUGCCAAAUAAAAUAUAAUUCCCUUUUUAUUUUAUAUUUCUUGCCAAAUUUCAAAUUAAUCAGUAUCAUAUUGCAUGUAAUCAAAAUAAUCGAUAUCUAAUAUAUAUAUAUACACAAGAUAAAAGAAUACACGAUACAAUCAAAACGUAUAUAUUCAUACCGACAAUUAUGCAAUGAAUGAUAUCAUCUCAUGCAAAACUGAAGAAAUCAUCGAUACACGAUACAUAAAUAAAUAUAGUUAUAGAUACAAAUGAUUGUGUACAAGGAUUCUUAUCUUUACUAGUGACAAGCUCAAACACAGUGUGUACUGACCCACACCUCGAUUUAAGAACUAGGGUGUAGAGUAUCCUGCUCAACAUCUUCUUGUCCAGAUCGUCUCGGGUUCACCACCAAGCGAAAAUCAUAAAGUGAAAAUUGACAGUCUAGAACCCUCUACUGGGGUCCAU
RNAcentral lists this long non-coding RNA (2614 nucleotides) under Phoenix dactylifera (date palm). Its description in RNAcentral is "long non-coding RNA (PDAC_LNC002747)". The record is from RNAcentral. Lineage: Eukaryota; Viridiplantae; Streptophyta; Magnoliopsida; Arecales; Arecaceae.